GAUGAACGCUGGCGGCGUGCCUAAUACAUGCAAGUCGAGCGAACAGAUGAGGAGCUUGCUCCUCUGACGUUAGCGGCGGACGGGUGAGUAACACGUGGAUAACCUACCUAUAAGACUGGGAUAACUUCGGGAAACCGGAGCUAAUACCGGAUAAUAUAUUGAACCGCAUGGUUCAAUAGUGAAAGACGGUUUUGCUGUCACUUAUAGAUGGAUCCGCGCCGCAUUAGCUAGUUGUUAAGGUAACGGCUUACCAAGGCAACGAUGCGUAGCCGACCUGAGAGGGUGAUCGGCCAGACUGGAACUGAGACACGGCCCAGACUCCUACGGGAGGCAGCAGUAGGGAAUCUGCCGCAAUGGGCGAAAGCCUGACGGAGCAACGCCGCGUGAGUGAUGAAGGUCUUCGGAUCGCAAAACUCUGUUAUUAGGGAAGAACAAAUGUGUAAGUAACUAUGCACGUCUUGACGGUACCUAAUCAGAAAGCCACGGCUAACUACGUG
This 497-nucleotide ribosomal RNA is filed under the name uncultured bacterium. RNAcentral's name for it is "partial 16S ribosomal RNA". It matches the Rfam family "Bacterial small subunit ribosomal RNA", at positions 28 to 507 of the family's 1533-position model. The record is from RNAcentral.